This 757-nucleotide ribosomal RNA is filed under the name uncultured Neocallimastigales. Its description in RNAcentral is "partial large subunit ribosomal RNA". It matches the Rfam family "Eukaryotic large subunit ribosomal RNA", at positions 20 to 629 of the family's 3401-position model. The record is from RNAcentral. Lineage: Eukaryota; Fungi; Neocallimastigomycota; Neocallimastigomycetes; Neocallimastigales.
AUCACUACGCUAGAUGCAUAUCAAUAAGCGGAGGAAAAGAAACUAACAAGGAUUCCCUUAGUAACGGCGAGUGAAGCGGGAAGAGCUCAAAUUUGAAAUCUUCAAGGUUCUACCUUGACGAAUUGUAGUUUAUAGAAGUGUUUCCUGUUAGUAGAGUGGCAAAAGUUCUUUGGAAUAGGACAUCAUAGAGGGUGAGAAUCCCGUAUUUGGUCAUUCCUCCUAGCGUUGUGAUACACUUUCAACGAGUCGGAUUGUUUGGGAAUGCAGUCCAAAAUGGGUGGUAAAUUUCAUCUAAAGCUAAAUAUUGGCGAGAGACCGAUAGCGAACAAGUACCGUGAGGGAAAGAUGAAAAGAACUUUGAAAAGAGAGUUAAACAGUACGUGAAAUUGUCAAAAGGGAAGCGUUUGACACCAGUGUUGUUUAGUUGAAAAUCAAUUCAAUAGUUUUUGAUUCUAAGUAGUAUUGACUUCAUCAGCUUGCUGCUUUCUUCUCAGAAAUUAUUGAAUGCACUUUUCAGUUAACAAGUCAACAUCAAUUUCUUUUGUUGUAAAAGGGUCAUUGGAAGGUGGCUUUCUUUUCGGGGAAAGUGUUUAUAGCCUUUGAUCUCUGCAACCGGAGAGACUGAGGUCUGCAGCGUAGACUCUUCGGGGUUAGAUACAUUUGUGCUAAGCUAUAGCUUUUUAUAGACAACUUGUUGACUAUAUUUAGUCUUGUGGCUUACUCGCUUAUGCUAUUUUACCUACGCUUAGGAUGUUGA